AGAGCCUGGGUGUGAACAAGAAUAAAUCCGAAGUGUCAAACCCCCGAGACUUGAGGGUUGGGGUGACUGCAGCCGAGGCCCAACCCCUCCGGACGGGUGGUCUGGGAUUGGAAAAUGCACGACCAAAGACCAUCAAAAGAGACAGAAGAGAGGGCCCUUCUUUUUCCUCUCGUCUCUGUCGACCCAGAGCUGGGAGCAAUGGAGAACAGAUAGAAAAUGUGCUGGUAGAUGGAUAGAUGGACGGAUGGACAGUAAACAACAGGGGAGAUCUCAGAAGCCCGGAGCCCAGGAAGUACCAGUGUGGGGACUUCAGAGGAUAGAACAGAUCCCAAAAUUGGGACUUUGGUCUCAUGCACGCAACUCAGACGAGCCACGCGGCCUGAGGCAGCCGCCUACUGUAGCUUGUAUGCUCAUUAAACGUUUGGUAA
Molecule: long non-coding RNA, 428 nt
Organism: Herpailurus yagouaroundi (jaguarundi)
Lineage: Eukaryota; Metazoa; Chordata; Mammalia; Carnivora; Felidae
Exons: 3
Source: RefSeq, a predicted model, not a curated record